UACCAGCACCCCGAGUGGUCGGGACGAUUAUUGGGCCUAAAGCAUCCGUAGCCGGUUCUACAAGUCUUCCGUUAAAUCCACCUGCUCAACAGUUGGGCUGCGGAGGAUACUAUAGAGCUAGGAGGCGGGAGAGGCAAGCGGUACUUAGUGGGUAGGGGUAAAAUCCGUUGAUCCAUUAAAGACCACCAGUGGCGAAGGCGGCUUGCCAGAACGCACUCGACGGUGAGGGAUGAAAGCUGGGGGAGCAAACCGG
Molecule: ribosomal RNA, 253 nt
Filed under: uncultured bacterium
Lineage: Bacteria
Description: partial 16S ribosomal RNA
Rfam family: Archaeal small subunit ribosomal RNA
Source: RNAcentral